This 716-nucleotide ribosomal RNA is filed under the name Pseudoalteromonas sp. GWS-SE-H169. RNAcentral's name for it is "bacterial SSU rRNA". It matches the Rfam family "Bacterial small subunit ribosomal RNA", at positions 13 to 728 of the family's 1533-position model. The record is from RNAcentral. Lineage: Bacteria; Pseudomonadati; Pseudomonadota; Gammaproteobacteria; Alteromonadales; Pseudoalteromonadaceae.
UUGAUCAUGGUUAGAUUGAACGCUGGCGGCAGGCCUAACACAUGCAAGUCGAGCGGUAACAUUUCUAGCUUGCUAGAAGAUGACGAGCGGCGGACGGGUGAGUAAUGCUUGGGAACAUGCCUUGAGGUGGGGGACAACAGUUGGAAACGACUGCUAAUACCGCAUAAUGUCUACGGACCAAAGGGGGCUUCGGCUCUCGCCUUUAGAUUGGCCCAAGUGGGAUUAGCUAGUUGGUGAGGUAAUGGCUCACCAAGGCAACGAUCCCUAGCUGGUUUGAGAGGAUGAUCAGCCACACUGGAACUGAGACACGGUCCAGACUCCUACGGGAGGCAGCAGUGGGGAAUAUUGCACAAUGGGCGCAAGCCUGAUGCAGCCAUGCCGCGUGUGUGAAGAAGGCUUCGGGUUGUAAAGCACUUUCAGUCAGGAGGAAAGGUUAGUCGUUAAUACCGGCUAGCUGUGACGUUACUGACAGAAGAAGCACCGGCUAACUCCGUGCCAGCAGCCGCGGUAAUACGGAGGGUGCGAGCGUUAAUCGGAAUUACUGGGCGUAAAGCGUACGCAGGCGGUUUGUUAAGCGAGAUGUGAAAGCCCCGGGCUCAACCUGGGAACUGCAUUUCGAACUGGCAAACUAGAGUGUGAUAGAGGGUGGUAGAAUUUCAGGUGUAGCGGUGAAAUGCGUAGAGAUCUGAAGGAAUANGAUGGCCGAAGGCAGCCAC